RNAcentral lists this ribosomal RNA (446 nucleotides) under uncultured bacterium. RNAcentral's name for it is "partial 16S ribosomal RNA". It matches the Rfam family "Bacterial small subunit ribosomal RNA", at positions 338 to 795 of the family's 1533-position model. The record is from RNAcentral.
CCUACGGGAGGCAGCAGUAGGGAAUUUUCGGCAAUGGGGGGAACCCUGACCGAGCAACGCCGCGUGCACGAAGAAGUUAUUCGUAAUGUAAAGUUCUUUUUACAGGGAAGAAAACGAAAUUUGACGGUACCUGAAGAAUAAGCUCCGGCUAACUACGUGCCCGCAGCCGCGGUAAUACGUAGGGAGCGAGCGUUCGCCGGAAUUAUUGGGCGUAAGGGGUGCGUAGAUGGCAUAGUAAGUCUUUUGUAAAAAUGCUGGGCUCAACCCAGUAGGGCAAAAGAUACUGUAAAGCUAGAGUAUGACAGAGGCAAGUGGAACGACAGGUGUAGCGGUAAAAUGCGUAAAUAUAUGUAAGAACACCAGUGGCGAAGGCGGCUUGCUGGGUCGAUACUGACAUUGAGGCACGAAAGCGUGGGGAGCAAACAGGAUUAGAUACCCGUGUAGUC